AGCAGCCGCGGUAAUUCCAGCUCCAAUAGCGUAUAUUAAAGUUGCUGCAGUUAAAAGCUCGUAGUUGAGUUUCGGGAUCAAUAUGUUGGUCGUGCCUUGGUACGUACUAGCUCAUUGGUUUCUCCCUUCUGACGAACCAUGAUGUCAUUAAUUUGAUGUCAUGGGGAAUCAGGACUGUUACUUUGAAAAAUUGAGUGUUUAAAGCAGGCUCGCGCUUGAAUACAUUAGCAUGGAAUAAUGAAAUAGGACAUUUGAUUCUAUUUUGUUGGUUUCUAGGAUCGAUGUAAUGAUUAAUAGGGAUAGUUGGGGGCAUUAGUAUUCAAUUGUCAGAGGUGAAAUUCUUGGAUUUAUGAAGACUAACUACUGCGAAAGCAUUUGCCAAGGAUGUU
RNAcentral lists this unclassified non-coding RNA (389 nucleotides) under uncultured Ambispora. Its description in RNAcentral is "SSU rRNA". It matches the Rfam family "Eukaryotic small subunit ribosomal RNA", at positions 569 to 968 of the family's 1831-position model. Lineage: Eukaryota; Fungi; Glomeromycota; Glomeromycetes; Archaeosporales; Ambisporaceae. The record is from RNAcentral.